This 253-nucleotide unclassified non-coding RNA is filed under the name uncultured Planctomycetia bacterium. RNAcentral's name for it is "contains 16S-23S intergenic spacer region". It matches the Rfam family "Bacterial small subunit ribosomal RNA", at positions 524 to 776 of the family's 1533-position model. Lineage: Bacteria; Pseudomonadati; Planctomycetota; Planctomycetia. The record is from RNAcentral.
GACGAACCGUGCAAACGUUGUUCGGAAUCACUGGGCUUAAAGGGCGCGUAGGCGGCUUGCCAAGUCAGGGGUGAAAUUUUUCGGCUCAACCGGAAAAGUGCCUUUGAUACUGGCGAGCUUGAGUGAGGUAGGGGCAUGUGGAACUUCCGGUGGAGCGGUGAAAUGUGUUGAUAUCGGAAGGAACGCCGGUGGCGAAAGCGACGCGCUGGACCUCUUCCGACGCUGAGGCGCGAAAGCUAGGGGAGCAAACGGG